UUUGAAAUCUGGCCCCCAGGGCCCGAGUUGUAAUUUGCAGAGGAUGCUUUUGGCGCGGUGCCUUCCGAGUUCCCUGGAACGGGACGCCAUAAAGGGUGAGAGCCCCGUCUGGUCGGACACCAAGCCAGUGUAAAGCUCCUUCGACGAGUCGAGUAGUUUGGGAAUGCUGCUCUAAAUGGGAGGUAUAUGUCUUCUAAAGCUAAAUACCGGCCAGAGACCGAUAGCGCACAAGUAGAGUGAUCGAAAGAUGAAAAGCACUUUGAAAAGAGGGUUAAAAAGUACGUGAAAUUGUUGAAAGGGAAGCGUUUAUGACCAGACUUGGGCCCGGUGAAUCAUCCAGCGUUCUCGCUGGUGCACUUUGCCGGGCUCAGGCCAGCAUCAGUUCGCCGCGGGGGACAAAAGCUUCGGGAACGUGGCUCCCUCGGGAGUGUUAUAGCCCGUUGCACAAUACCCUGUGGUGGACUGAGGUUCGCGCUCCNCAAGGAUGCUGGCGUAAUGGUCAUCAGCGACCCGUCUUGAAACACGGACCAAGGANUCGUCUUCNUAUGCGAGUGUUCGGGUGUAAAACCCCUAC
RNAcentral lists this ribosomal RNA (574 nucleotides) under soil fungal sp. DM2-282. RNAcentral's name for it is "eukaryotic LSU rRNA". It matches the Rfam family "Eukaryotic large subunit ribosomal RNA", at positions 114 to 713 of the family's 3401-position model. Lineage: Eukaryota; Fungi. The record is from RNAcentral.